Molecule: long non-coding RNA, 1179 nt
Organism: Nomia melanderi (Alkali bee)
Lineage: Eukaryota; Metazoa; Arthropoda; Insecta; Hymenoptera; Halictidae
Source: RefSeq, a predicted model, not a curated record
UGCUUGUUUUCAUCAGUCUAUUUCACAUUCGCGAUAGGCCCUUACAAUUACUGUCUGCACUUCUUCAAGCAUUUCUGUUAACCCUAUAUUUUUGUACUGUCAAGUUUUCUAAAAUAUUAUAGCUUUUCUCUCGUCAAUCUAACAGAAAGUUUUUCAAUAACGGAGUUCGUUGAAAUUUAACAGUUAAUCACAUUACACGGCGUCAUUUGAUGUCAUGGCAUUAAAUCGAGGAAUAAAAUGUCUCCCUUUUGGUAAUGGAAACUUUAAUAACCUAGAAGAAAUUGGUGGAAGUGGAGGAAUGAAUUCAUGGGAAGGAGGAAUGAUGCCUGGUUGAAGGAUUUUACCAACUCCAAAUAAUAAUUUGUCUUUAGCAUUACCCUAAGCACAGUUAGCAAUGGCUAAUAACCUUCUCACAAAUUUAUUUCUUAAUCAACAAGCAGAUACCAUCACUCCUUAGUCUUUGCAAUAAAUGGAUAUCAAUGGCACCUUCUCAGUUGGAUACAAAAAUAAGUUAUUUGUGUGACAAAUGUUUAUAGAAUCUGAUGACAGCGAUUAUAUUGAAACGAAAGAUACAGGAAAAGGAGAAAUUAAUUAACACAAAAUUAGCAACAAUGGUUAAAGAAGUUAAUCGAAAAAAAUUAAAUUAUUUGAAUUAAAAAUCAGGGAGAAGAACAGUAUGUUUAACUUUGUUAUAAAACAAAAUAGAUUCUCAACUUGCAGAUAUAAAGAAAUAUAGUAAAUCUGAGGAUGUUAAAAAGGCAGAAAAUAUUUUAUCUCAAUUAUAUAUCUUUCUACAAAAUAAUGACACAUUAUGUUGUGAUAAUGUAAUUCUUCUCAAGAUACCCAAGGAAUGGGAAGAAACAAUGGAAACUGUAAUAUCUUGUUGUGAUAAUUUAAAAUCUCUUAUAGAUUUAAUUGGACCCCGAAAUGAGAAUGUUAAUAAUGGUCUUAAAAAUUUCUUGAAUGUUUAUAACGUUAUUACGGACCAUCACAAAAGAUUGGAGAAAGACAUUGAACUACAAGCUCUUACAUUGAAAACUUGAACCUUGAGCUUAAUGUAAGCAAACGAGUCAAGGGAUGUAAAUAUUUAACAUCACAAUAUUAAGUACUGUUUAAGUACAAUACUGUAUUUAAAACUUUAUGUAUGUAAUAAGACAUGGUUAUGUAAAUAAUGUGUUU